ACGACUCUCGACAACGGAUAUCUCGGCUCUCGCAUCGAUGAAGAACGUAGCGAAAUGCGAUACUUGGUGUGAAUUGCAKAAUCCCGUGAACCAUCGAGUCUUUGAACGCAAGUUGCGCCUGAAACCAUUAGGUUGAGGGCACGUCUGCCUGGGUGUCACGU
RNAcentral lists this ribosomal RNA (161 nucleotides) under Vinogradovia conferta. RNAcentral's name for it is "Grammosciadium confertum 5.8S ribosomal RNA". It matches the Rfam family "5.8S ribosomal RNA". Rfam says of the family: 5.8S ribosomal RNA (5.8S rRNA) is a component of the large subunit of the eukaryotic ribosome. It is transcribed by RNA polymerase I as part of the 45S precursor that also contains 18S and 28S rRNA. The record is from RNAcentral. Lineage: Eukaryota; Viridiplantae; Streptophyta; Magnoliopsida; Apiales; Apiaceae.